AGUGAACGCUGGCGGUAGGCCUAACACAUGCAAGUCGAACGGCAGCACAGUAAGAGCUUGCUCUUACGGGUGGCGAGUGGCGGACGGGUGAGGAAUACAUCGGAAUCUACUUUUUCGUGGGGGAUAACGUAGGGAAACUUACGCUAAUACCGCAUACGACCUACGGGUGAAAGCAGUGGAUCUUCGGACCUUGCGCGAUUGAAUGAGCCGAUGUCGGAUUAGCUAGUUGGCGGGGUAAAGGCCCACCAAGGCGACGAUCCGUAGCUGGUCUGAGAGGAUGAUCAGCCACACUGGAACUGAGACACGGUCCAGACUCCUACGGGAGGCUGCAGUGGGGAAUAUUGGACAAUGGGCGCAAGCCUGAUCCAGCCAUACCGCGUGGGUGAAGAAGGCCUUCGGGUUGUAAAGCCCUUUUGUUGGGAAAGAAAAGCAGCAGGUUAAUACCCCGCUGUUCUGACGGUACCCAAAGAAUAAGCACCGGCUAACUUCGUG
This 492-nucleotide ribosomal RNA is filed under the name uncultured bacterium. RNAcentral's name for it is "partial 16S ribosomal RNA". It matches the Rfam family "Bacterial small subunit ribosomal RNA", at positions 29 to 507 of the family's 1533-position model. The record is from RNAcentral.